AUGGCGACGAUCGUCAACACCACGGAGGAGGAGCCGAUGCUGGCGGUGGUGCGCUCCACGGCGGAGCUCGCCUGGGCCGACGUGGGCGCCGAGGCGCAGCAGCACGUCCUCGCCGGCCGCUGGCUCGACAUGGCCGCCCUCAUGCUCGCCUCCGCCGACCUCCUCCUCCUCGCCCCACGCCUCUCCGACAAAGGCACCUCCCCCCUCCCCCUCCCCUCUCCUUCCCCAUCCCUAUCGAUUUCUUAUCUCGAGUGCUCCCUCACCGUCAUCUGCAACCUCGUCACCAAGGCCGGAUCCGAGGACGAGGCGCUGGAGAUCGCCAGGCUCAUCUGCGCCAAGCUCACCCACCAGUCGGGCGAGAAGCCCAUGCUGCGCAUCAAAGUCCUGUUCAGCCUGUACAACCUACUGGCGAGCCUCUCCGGCAAGGCCUUGGUCUACAGGAAGGCGCUCGAGCUUGCCGCCGCCGGGAAGGCCGCCGACUGCGUCGUGCCCACCUUCAAGAACAUCGACGCCUUUGUUGCCUACUGGGGCAUCGGCAAGCCGGAGCAGAGGGACCUGUUCCUUGCCGUCACCAGGAUUCUUAAAGACCAGAAGGGCAUGACCAAGGAGUACUUCAAGUUUCUGAACAAGUACCUGGCUACAUUCGAUGGUUCGUCUGAUGAGGCCGACGCAAUUGGUGCAGCGAAGGAAGAAGCUGCUGCAGCAAUCAUUGAGUUUGUCAAGUCAUCUGACCUCUAUCAGGUACUUUUAUCCUCCAGCUCACAUCUCCGUCUUAGGUCUUGUGUUCGUGUGGAAAAAUCUCCAAUCAAAUAUCACUAUAUUAGAUACUCCUCUGUAAAGAAAUAUAAGAUCGAUCAUAGAUCACCAAACCGACAUACUGCGAGGGUCUUCGGGAUGCCACAAUGGCAGAGUCUACGUUCAAAGCUUAGAGUGUGGAGGGGAAACAUUGCAAAUGCUAUCAACACGAUCCAAGCUAACAAGGUGACUGAAGAUGGCGGGCAGGGGAUGCAGGAUUGA
Molecule: ribosomal RNA, 1017 nt
Filed under: Triticum aestivum (bread wheat)
Lineage: Eukaryota; Viridiplantae; Streptophyta; Magnoliopsida; Poales; Poaceae
Description: partial small subunit ribosomal RNA
Source: RNAcentral